GACGAACGCUGGCGGCGUGCUUAACACAUGCAAGUCGAACGGAAAGGCCCUGCUUUUGUGGGGUGCUCGAGUGGCGAACGGGUGAGUAACACGUGAGUAACCUGCCCUUGACUUUGGGAUAACUUCAGGAAACUGGGGCUAAUACCGGAUAGGAGCUCCUGCUGCAUGGUGGGGGUUGGAAAGUUUCGGCGGUUGGGGAUGGACUCGCGGCUUAUCAGCUUGUUGGUGGGGUAGUGGCUUACCAAGGCUUUGACGGGUAGCCGGCCUGAGAGGGUGACCGGCCACCUUGGGACUACGGUACGGCCCAGACUCCUACGGGAGGCAGCAGUGGGGAAUAUUGCGCAGUGGGCGGAAGCCUGAUGCAGCAACGCCGCGUGCGGGAUGACGGCCUUCGGGUUGUAAACCGCUUUCGCCUGUGACGAAGCGUGAGUGACGGUAAUGGGUAAAGAAGCACCGGCUAACUACGUG
Molecule: ribosomal RNA, 468 nt
Filed under: uncultured bacterium
Lineage: Bacteria
Description: partial 16S ribosomal RNA
Rfam family: Bacterial small subunit ribosomal RNA
Source: RNAcentral